GAGGAACACGUGAACAACCUGCCUUCGAGUGGGAUAGCUUCUGGAAACGGGAGAUAAUACCGAAUAACGAUCAUCGGACCGCAUGGUCUGAUGAUCAAAGCAGCAAUGCGCUUGAAGAGGGGUUCGCGUCCCAUUAGCUAGUUGGUGAGGUAACGGCCCACCAAGGCGAUGAUGGGUAGCUGGUCUGAGAGGACGAUCAGCCACAUUGGGACUGAGAUACUGCCCAGACUCCUACGGGAGGCUGCAGUCGAGAAUUUUGGGCAAUGGACGAAAGUCUGACCCAGCAAUGCCGCGUGCGGGAUGAAGGUCUUCGGAUUGUAAACCGCUGUCAAGAGGGACGAAACAUGACGGUACCUCUGGAGGAAGCCACGGCUAACUACGUGCCAGCCGCGGC
Molecule: ribosomal RNA, 394 nt
Filed under: uncultured bacterium
Lineage: Bacteria
Description: bacterial SSU rRNA
Rfam family: Bacterial small subunit ribosomal RNA
Source: RNAcentral